This 253-nucleotide ribosomal RNA is filed under the name uncultured Bacteroides sp. RNAcentral describes it as "partial 16S ribosomal RNA". It matches the Rfam family "Bacterial small subunit ribosomal RNA", at positions 524 to 776 of the family's 1533-position model. Lineage: Bacteria; Pseudomonadati; Bacteroidota; Bacteroidia; Bacteroidales; Bacteroidaceae. The record is from RNAcentral.
UACGGAGGAUCCGAGCGUUAUCCGGAUUUAUUGGGUUUAAAGGGAGCGUAGGUGGAUUGUUAAGUCAGUUGUGAAAGUUUGCGGCUCAACCGUAAAAUUGCAGUUGAAACUGGCAGUCUUGAGUACAGUAGAGGUGGGCGGAAUUCGUGGUGUAGCGGUGAAAUGCUUAGAUAUCAGGAGGAACAUCGGUGGCGUAAGCGCUUUACUGGGCCGUAAUUGACGCUGAGGAACGAAAGCCAGGGUAGCAAAUGGG